GGGAGGUCUGGGAAAAAAGAGAGGGAAAAAGGACGUUGAUGAAGAGAAUGGACGUUUUUACAUUAGGAUGGUUGGUAAAGAAAUUAUAGAAGAAGACGACAGAACUAGAACAAAACCCAUACCUACUAGGAUAUGAAGGGAAAUACAUGUUUUAUUUUAUAAAAGAGUUGUUAUAAUUUUGUUAAAACUUAGUACAGACUGAAGCUACCGUCUCGUCGUGGAGGUAUUUGUCAGCAUUGAGGUUAGCCUAGCAUCGUGUGACACGGGGAGAUAAUUGCUUGGGAAGCUUAACGAGUUCGUGUUCCCAUGGGAUAUCGGUUACGGCUAAGGAGUACUGUCUGCAUGGGUAGCUGUGCUUGCCUUGGACUUUGUGAGGAAACCUGCAUGGAACUGCCAUACUUCGCUGAGGGAAUAUCUACCAAGCAGACCUGAGCCCUAGGACCAUGCCUCAGGACUACCUGGUAUGAUGACUCCUUGCUGUCCCCAGUCCACCUGGCCGUGCUGCUGCUCCAGUUUCAACUGUUCUGCCUGUGGCUAUGGAACCCUGACCUGUUCACCGGACGUGCUUGUUGCACCCUCGACAACUACUAUGAUUAUUAUUAAUUGACCAUGCUGGUCAUUUAUGAACAUUUUAACAUCUUGACCAUGUUCUGUUAUAAUAUCCACCCUGCACAGCCAGAAGAGGACUGGCCACUCCUCAUAGCCUGGUUCCUCUCUAGGUUUUUUGGCCUUUCUAGAGAGUUUUUCCUAGGGAGUUUUUCCUAGCCACUGUGCUUCUUUCACAUGCAUUGCUUGCUGUUUGGGGGUUUAGGCUGGGUUUCUGUACAGCACUUUGAGAUAUCAGCUGAUGUACGAAGGGCUAUAUAAAAAAAUUUUGAUUUGAUUUGAUAACAUCUAUAAUGACAUCACAAAAUGCUAAAUGAUAUGACAGGAUUAUUGUUUGGAUCACCACCAACCAUUCCAAAAGUUUGGAUUCCAAAACUAAUGUUCAUGUAUCCAAUCUUCUGAUGUUGAAGUUUUGGCGACAUGGUCUCUCUGUGUAACAUUCAAACAUUCCAUUCUCAAUACUGCAGAGCCCCAAAGAGAGAAAGUUUACGACCGGCGUUAAGUCAUAAAACUGGC
RNAcentral lists this long non-coding RNA (1122 nucleotides) under Salmo salar (Atlantic salmon). RNAcentral describes it as "lncRNA (ENSSSAG00000091714.1, ENSSSAG00000093589.1)". Lineage: Eukaryota; Metazoa; Chordata; Actinopteri; Salmoniformes; Salmonidae. The record is from RNAcentral.